This 265-nucleotide ribosomal RNA is filed under the name uncultured Glomus. Its description in RNAcentral is "partial 18S ribosomal RNA". It matches the Rfam family "Eukaryotic small subunit ribosomal RNA", at positions 548 to 818 of the family's 1831-position model. Lineage: Eukaryota; Fungi; Glomeromycota; Glomeromycetes; Glomerales; Glomeraceae. The record is from RNAcentral.
UUGGAGGGCAAGUCUGGUGCCAGCAGCCGCGGUAAUUCCAGCUCCAAUAGCGUAUAUUAAAGUUGUUGCAGUUAAAAAGCUCGUAGUUGAAUUUCGGGAUCAAUGUUUCGGUCAUGCCGUUGGUAUGUACUGAUAUUAUUGAUUUCUCACCUUCUAAAGAACCGUAAUGCCAUUAAUUUGGUGUCACGGGGAAUUAGGACUGUUACCUUGAAAAAAUUGAGUGUUUAAAGCAGGCUCACGCUUGAAUACAUUAGCAUGGAAAUUA